UACGAGGGGGGCAAGCGUUGUUCGGAAUUAUUGGGCGUAAAGGGUGCGUAGGCGGUUUGAUAAGUCAUCUGCGAAAUCUCUGGGCUCAACCCAGAGUCUGCAGGCGAAACUGUCGGGCUUGAGUAUGGGAGAGGUGAGUGGAAUUUCCGGUGUAGCGGUGAAAUGCGUAGAGAUGUGGAGGAACACCAGUGGCGAAGGCGGCUUUCUG
Molecule: ribosomal RNA, 208 nt
Filed under: uncultured bacterium
Lineage: Bacteria
Description: partial 16S ribosomal RNA
Rfam family: Bacterial small subunit ribosomal RNA
Source: RNAcentral